UGCAGGUAAUUUUUUAAAUCCAUAUUUUAUAUAUUGUUAAUGAGUUAUUCAAAAUUUUUAUGAAUUAUGAUUUGGGUUAUAUAGAUCUUAAGUUCUGUUUGAAUUGUGGAAAUGUAAUUCUUGUACUCUGAACUGUCAUAAAUGCCUUUCUAUGAAUAAUCCCCAUUGAUUAUGUUAACUGUUGGAAUAUGCAUAUCAAAUUGGCAAAUAUCAUCACAUUUAACAUGUCCAAGCCAGAUGUAUUCUUGUACUAAAUAGUUUAUUUGCCAUUAUGCCAUAAUUUUUUGCGCUCCACCUUAAGAGGACUAGGUGGCAUUAACAUGAUCUGGUGUUAGCCUCAACUAUAAUAAGACUGUCAGAGGGGGCUAAUGGCACAAAAAAAUGAUGAGAGAAUUUCCCAGUGAAAAAAAAAUCUUAUUUUUAUAGUAAAAUUUAUGCCUUUGCUCUUAAAUCUUAUUUUAUUGUGUUACCAACAUGCAAGGGGCUUUAGAAAGGGAAAAGUGUGACAACAAUUUGGAAUCCACUUUGUAUGUGACCAUUCCAAGCAAGGGAUUGCAUUUGCUCUUUGACUUGAAAUGAUGCAGUAAAACAUAAUGAUACUAAUUAGUUAAGGAUUUGUAAUAUACUCUGUUGAGGAGGAGAACACAAAUGAAUAUGCACUUCAUAUAUUAAACAAGUCUGGUUGGAUUGAUUCUGUGAACUCAAUAAGCAUGCUUCUAUUGUCUAUUUAUAUUUUUUACAUUUCUUUUUGAAUUUAUAUUCUUUUUC
Molecule: unclassified non-coding RNA, 768 nt
Filed under: Hevea brasiliensis (rubber tree)
Lineage: Eukaryota; Viridiplantae; Streptophyta; Magnoliopsida; Malpighiales; Euphorbiaceae
Source: RNAcentral